This 253-nucleotide ribosomal RNA is filed under the name uncultured Eubacteriales bacterium. RNAcentral describes it as "uncultured Clostridiales bacterium partial 16S ribosomal RNA". It matches the Rfam family "Bacterial small subunit ribosomal RNA", at positions 524 to 776 of the family's 1533-position model. The record is from RNAcentral. Lineage: Bacteria; Bacillati; Bacillota; Clostridia; Eubacteriales.
UACGGGGGAUGCAAGCGUUAUCCGGAUUUACUGGGUGUAAAGGGAGCGUAGGCGGCUUAGUAAGUCAGAAGUGAAAGCCCGCAGCUCAACUGCGGGACUGCUUUUGAAACUGCCAGGCUAGAGUGUCGGAGAGGUAAGUGGAAUUCCUAGUGUAGCGGUGAAAUGCGUAGAUAUUAGGAGGAACACCAGUGGCGAAGGCGGCUUACUGGACGAUGACUGACGCUGAAGCACGAGAGCGUGGGUAGCGAACAGG